This is a long non-coding RNA of Passer domesticus (house sparrow), 17316 nucleotides long. RefSeq lists it as uncharacterized. Lineage: Eukaryota; Metazoa; Chordata; Aves; Passeriformes; Passeridae. The transcript is spliced from 4 exons. The record is from RefSeq and is a predicted model, not a curated record.
CUUUGCAUUGUUAAAAUAACAGAUAAAGUCUAACUACAAAACAGAAUUUUGAUUUUCCUGAACAUUUCAGCAGCUGUAAGGUUUUAAAACUGUCUUUGAUUAGGGAAAAAGUAAAAACCCAAACUCAAACCUAAAGUAACUUAAUAUGAGCCACAAAAAACAUGCUUAGGUAAUAAUUUGAGGAGUGUAGUCUGAACUAAUAAUCUUUUGAUUCCCAGAAAGAAUAGAUAAAAUCCCCAUUAAGCCAGCAUUUAAAAAAAUCAAAAAACCAACAACUUUAAAAUGGUCACAAUCAUUUUCUGUGAUGCCCCAAGGUAACUUGCUACACACUGGUUAUGCCUACAUGCAGAUAACACAAAUCAAGCACUUCAACGAGCUGGUCAUUUCAAACUUACACAAAAAAUUAAAAAAAAAAUAGGGAAAAAGGUUUUUAAAUACAGAGUCCACAUAAAAAAAUCAGCUUUUACAAUGUAAUUGAGCUUGUGUUUUACAAUCAGCUUUUAACUAAAGGAGUUGAUCUGUUCGAGCCACUCCCUGGCACUUGUCACACCUCUGCACUGGGGGGUUCCUGUGUCUGCUGGCCCCACGCAGAGGUUGGAACAAACACAUGCUGUCAAGUUCAAGGUGUAGAGUUUGCUGUGGACACUGCAAUUCUAACUCUGGUUCUCUGCCAGUUCAUUUGGAAAGUUUGGGCAGGGAAGUAAACCAUCAGCCUGUUGCUACAAGGACACUGCAAAACCAAAGUGAAGUAAGGAUCUGCCAACUGCUUGUUUCCAGCUGCACAGGAACCCUCAUAAGUUAAGGAUAUUGAAAGUAUUAUUACUUUUGUACAUGGCUGAUGAACUCAAAAUACAACUCCUUCCUAUCAUUUCUACAGAUCUUUGGAUAUGACUGUGUUUAGCAAACAGUACCAACGUGCACUAUCAGCUCCCAACAUCUCUGUUCGUCCAAACCUUUAUCAAAUCUUUCACUGAAGAAAGCAGAAGCUGUCCAUGAGAAGUUACAGACUCCAUCUUUGCUAAAUCUAGGUUGCACAGGACCAGAAGUUAUGUAAAACAGCUGGACUGAAAUACAACAUUCUGUUCAGAAGACUGAAUGGCCUGAAGCACAAUUCCAGUGUAUUCUGAUGGGGAUUCCACUUCUCGGGCUCGGUGAUUUAUUGCAUCAGAAGCACCCCAGUGAAGCGCGGCAGGGAGGGGAGUUUUCCAUGGGGCACUUCCGAGGAGCACCAGCAGUGCCUGUCCCGUGCCCACUGGGUGGCACUAGUGACAAGCAGGCCCACGGCACCUCCCUGCUACAGGCAAUUCAGGUACUGCACAGUUCACUUUCUUUUUUCUCUAAAUUCAUCUCUACAAAGUCUUGUGUGAAGCCCCAACUUCCCUGUGCAGGACCACAGCUGUGGCUCUGAAGCCCAGACAACCCUUCAGUAAAGGUCUGAGACAGAAGACCAGGGCUUGAGUUCCUGAGUGAAAGACCUGACCACCAGGCAUGGUCAGCUGUUCUUGCUUCCUGUCUGUCCAAGCCAUCCCACACAUUACCACAGACUGACUUCUUCCAGAAGCCAAGCUGGCCCAUUUAAACAUGGAUAUUCACAUUACUGUGGACAUAGCCUCUUAUUUUUAAAAUGCUAAAUCAAAAGACAGAAUUUAAGAUCCUACAAGUCUUCAAACUCAUUUGUUUAGAGAUAAUACACUGGGCAAACUCCGAAGGCAUCUUAAGAAAAAAAUCAAUUUUGGUACCAAAACAAAGUACUACAGGGAAAAAAAAAAACCCCUAAUUUAGGGUUAGAUGAAACAUACCUGCUCUUGCACUUGUAAUGAAGGCUUCUGUUCUGAAGGCUCUGUGCUUUCUGGCUUUGGAGGAUUUGAAUUCUGUUGCAUUCCAGAACUUGAUACAAUACUUAGGUCAUUAAUCUGAUUCUGAGGAGGGAAAAACAAAGGAAAAAAACCCAAAUACAUGAGUUUCAGUCUACAUUUACCCAUUAUACAUCCUGUUUACAUGACACUUGGGACUGAAAUACAGAUGAUGUACGAAGCACUGAUUUUUGUAAGACACUGUGGAAUUCACAAAUCUUAGGAAAUAAAAAUCAUACCAAGACAUCCAGAAUCAGGUAUGCAGUCACAAAACUUUUAUUCUUUAUUAUUAUAAGAAAAGCAAGAAGAAAAUACAACUGACUUUAUACUUUUUCACCAAGAACAAAAAUGAUACAUUAAAGAAUAGGUGGGCUAAUCACAUCCUGUAUCUGCAUUGGCUGCUAACAGAGAAGUCUGCUACACUUCAUUCAAUCAGGAACCCAAACUACAGCUGCUUAGAAAAAAAAAUCCUGUCAAAAAGUACUCUAAGUGGAUGGAAAGACAGCUUGUCACUGAUUUACUGCCACCAGAUUUAACCAACCAUGUACAUUUAUUUUCAGGCAUUAAUCUGGUUUUCUGUGAACAAGACAAAACCAGGCAAGAGAGCAUUAUAACACAGUAGGUUUCAGAUGGAUUUGAUUUUCAUCUUUAAUAAACACAAAAACCCCAAAUACAGAUAUUCUAUUACUGUUAAAAUCACCAGAAAAACCCAGACUGUAGAAUAAUCCAGCUUUCAAUGGGUAAACUACACCUGAUGCAUAUGAUAGAGCUCAACCAUUGGUACAACACAGGGUGAUUGCUCUGGCAUCUUACCCAAAGCAGUAAAAUAUGGGUUAAACUUUUUAGCAAUGGAUUAAAAAGCAAUCUGAGCUUUAUUCUUUUGUUUUCAAAUUCUAAAUGAAAGCAAUAAAUACAAAAUCAAGCCUAUAUAUUGCCAUUUAAGGACACAGGAGAGAAGCAGACUCUCGCAUCUUUCUGACUUUUAGCCACUAACUUGAAGGUCAAAACUCCUUGUGCCUGAAAGGCUGGAGGCCUUUUAGUUAUAAAAUCAGAAAAGGCAGAGUCUUUUCACUAGAGGAUAAGCUGCAGUAUGUUUCUCUGCUCAAACUGAAAUACAAACACAAAACUACACUAUAAAAGCAUCCAUUCACUCCAUUAAAAAAAAAAAAUCUGAGUUCAUUCAUUUUCACAUAUGGGCUUGAUGUAGUGUGUACUUGAAGGAUUAAGCUGAUUUGGAAUCCUAGAUUAAAGCACUCAGACCUUCAUAAAUCUCUUUUUCACUCCCUCUGCCCCCUUCUCAUGCUGACACUCUGCCAAUCUCAUGUGGGCUGCACACAAGGAUUACUGUAUGAUCCAUCUGGAAUGUACCAGCAGAUAAGUACUUUCUGCUCCUAAAUACAAAUUCAUGCAUAAAUAUCAAGUGCCAUAAAAUUAUUUAAAAAAAAAAUAAGUCAGGAAAGGUAUUUCAAGAAGGCAUCUUCCAAACAAGUUGGUUAUUUCAUCACAUUAACAUUGGCAUACACUGGCUACAAGAGCUCCAAAAUUAAUGUGCCAGGGGUUUGUUGCUAAAGCUGAGUUGGUCAACAGAACAUCUCCAAAGAAGUUUGCUUGAAACAUGACCAACAUUGUUCAGAUCUGCUUUUCUGACAACUGUACAGCACUACAGUCACAGCAGGCUCUUGUGGGAUCACCAUGGACAGGAUCAUUUAUGGUCCAUGCACACACAAAAAGAAAAUGAAGUAAUUAUCCCAGUUUCCCUGGUGUUCCAAAAAUAUCAAGAAACAAACACACACAUAUACAACAAUAAGAAGAAAUAAAGAUACAAACCCCCCAAUUUUAAAGUAGCUCUGCUGUAGCCCAUGCCCUGCCUAUUUCACUGCUGUACUACUGGCACCACAGAUGUUGUCUGUCCAUUAAAAUAUCUUUAUCUGUGCCUGUUCAUCAGAAUUGUACUUGUAUACAGAGCUUCAUCCAUGAUGUUUAGGAACUUUGUUUCUAGCAAAAGCUUUUCAGUACUCUCAUAUGAAGAAGAUCUGAAAAUUAGAAGAGAAGCUGGAAUAUCCCAAGUCAUCCAAAAGCCAUCUGUUGGAAAUGUGCAUUAUCCAACACUGCAAGGACAAGGAGGGAGAAAGGCUUCAUCACACCCAGGAGGGCACUACCAAAGAAGUGCAUUCCUGUGGUAUGGGCUUUUUCCCUUCUUUGCAAAAAGGCUUCAAUUUCUUCAAAUCUGUCUAGACUGAUACACCACUGAAAGAUGAAUCAUAGUGUGAUGUUUCCUUCUGUGAUCUCACAAAAGCUGCCACCUGCACAAUGCUGGCCUUCAUACAGAGACACCUUCUCCCCAAACAGCACUGACACAUAUUUGGAAUUAAUUUUGUUUUCAUCUGUAUUUUAAAGCAUUAAAAGAACAGAGGAGUGAUAUCCAGAAAUGAGUAUCUAGCCUGGGUCAAAGACACUGUAUUGUUUAUCACACUGCCCUGACCUCAAUGUACAUCAGUGACAGGUUAAGUUGGCUCAUACAAGGUUUAAUCCACAUGGUUACUCUCUUCUCCUCAUCCCACACUGUAUUGUAACCAUCCAGAAUCUCACAGACUCAAUUUCAAGUACUGAAAGAAACUCUGCAGCACAAGCAACUCCUGGAAGAAAUCAUACACUGUACAAAUGUGCUCCCUGUUCUCCCAGCAGCACAGGCACAGAAGCCACACCAUGGUUCUGCAAGGCAAUACUCACACAUUGCUUUACUAUGGCACAUUCCUGUAUUAUUACUCGGGGGAAGAGGCGUGUUCAGAAUCUCUGCUUCCAUUUUUGGAUCUCCCACACAUUACCUUUAUAUUCACCCUGCAUGUAUGAAUUUGGUCCUCAUGACUAUAUAAAGUAAUUCUUUCCUAAGAGAACUAACAUUCCUCAUUAUGUAAUCUUGUGGAUUUAGCACUGGCAAAGGAUAACAGGCUUUUCCUUCUGAGAUGAAUUAUUUUAUUAAAGGAAGAAACAGUAGACAGGACACGAGUAAUAAACUCGAGAACAGAAAGACAAAGGAACAGUAUUGUUACACUUAGUCCACAGCUAGUAACAAAUAUGCUUCAUAAAGUCUACAAAUGAACUGAAUGCCUCAGUCUCUAAUACCACAGUUCACCUUUUGAGACUAAGAAGAGACAGAUGCUGUUUGGUAUCAUUUUUAUUUGCUAUUCUCAGAGACAAGAUUUUCUCACAGCAGGAGAAACCAUUAUAAAAUGGGUCCACCCUGCUACACUUCAAGUUGGAUCACAUCAUCAGGAUUCAAUCCAUCUUGCCUGAAAUCACAGAAUGUUUCCUAGUACAGUGUUCCUGAGGGAGGGAACAACACAUCACUCUGAAAACAAGGCUGCUGGAACUAUUGCAGCCACUGCCCACCCUUUAAACAAAGCACAGCUGAUGUGCUAAAAACUCAUUUCCAGAAAAGAGACAUGUACUUACUCGUUCAUAUUCAUCCUUGGCUUUACUAAGCAUCUCUAGGAUGUCAAUGGGCCUGUUUUCAUUGCAGCCAUUGGUCCUGCUGGGACUUUUUCUGUCCUGGGAAACUUGCUGCGACCUCUGAGCUUCUUGUUCAACCACUCUGUAAAAUGGAAAGGAGAAACAGGAUUUAAAAAUUUAACUAGAGUUAACAUCUUGCAAAAAGCAGUAAAGAAAAAAGUACUCCCAGCACAUUAACCCAUUUUUCUGCCUGAAUAAAAGCCUAACAUACAGCUGACCAAAGCUACACAAGUUUUCAUUUGCUACAAGGUUCAAAACAAACUGUCAAAUGAUCUGCACGAUUUAUCUCCCAUUCACAGAGCACUGGUCUGUCUCUCUCAAAGUUUGCCUACAGUAAACAUUACUAAUAUGAAACUCUAAUGUUUGGACAUUUUUACAAUGAGAGAUGUGGACAUCCAAGCAUGUGAUACACAAAAAGCACAUGUUUUACACCAUAGACUAAGAUACAAUUUUCACUCUUUACUUCCUAACAUGCAUUUUUCUAUAUUUAGCCAAGUCAAGUCAUGACAUUCAACAAAAUCUAUUACCAAACAAUUCUAGUUUAGGAUGAGGCCUACCAUUAUGCAAGAGAGACAGGAGGAAAUAAGAGAGCUGGCUCACACCAGAUACCUGGAAUCAGUCUGCAAGAGGACUUAGAGCAAGUCACCCCUCACACCCCCACCUAAGGCCCGGAAAGAACAGCAAACCAUUUCCUCUUCAAGCUGCUCUGCAGCCAUUCCAAUGACCUGCAUUACCUCUGGCCUCUGGUUCAUUCACCACUUCUACUCCACCCCUGCCUCCCUCAAUAAACAAAACCUUCGAUCUGAAGGACAGGUAAGAGAUGCAAGAAGCUGAUGUGUACCUGGUGCUUUCAUUAAUAAAAGUAAAAGCAGCAUAUUCUCCUAAUCCAUAUGCAGUUCACAAAAUAUACAUGGCUGUGCAAUGUGCUGAAGCUUAUCCUCUUGAAAUAAACACACACCAGCCUGUAAUCCCUUCUUUUUUAAGCCUCCAUUAAUCAAAUAUGUUAAGAAAAAACAAGCACUGUAAACAGGGCAGAGCUCUGGAGCUAGCAUGUCACUUGAGAACUCUCAUGCUGUGGAACUGAUGGCUGAGGGGGGAGCCAAGAGGUGCCAUCACAACAAUCACAGAAAGUGCCAAUCAUUCCAGCCUCCAGUUUCUUUGGGUCAGUUAGGAUUCAGGACAAACUCUAGAUUUUAUAGACUAAUUAUUUAUAUGUACAUCUAGGUUUACAUUCCUGAGGAAGAAAUAGUUCAAGUUUUGGAAGUUUCUUCCCAGCUUUCUAGCUACCAAGCUUCUUUACUUCACUAGAGUUUAGCUGAAAAAGGGUUAGAUUUGGCUUUUAAUAAUUCAAUGUUGCUUUCACAAUUUUUCAUCAUACAAGCAGGUUACUUAACCAGCUCCUGAUUACUUCCAGCCUUCUCUGUAAGCAGCAGUCACCUGGCAAGGUAACUCACAAUAGGGAGGCCAAUGUAACCCUGGUAAUUUCUGAGCACUGCAGCAUGUGCUCGUUUGGAUGAAGCAGCUCAAUACUCCACAAGUGUUUCUAUGGUGACACCCUGAGAGAACAUUUUGUUCUAGCAUCUCACGUGGUCACCAGUCCUGGCUUAGGACCUCUCUAAACUCAACUCCAAAACUAAUGAUGAGAAACAGCAAGGUAAGAGAAUCAGAAUACUUUGCUGAGAUGUUAAGUGCCAGCAUAAUUGUAUAAGAAAAAAGAAACUUCAGUUAAAGGGAAGAUUCUGGGCAAAGUGAAAUCACACAUGGUGCCUGGCAGGCAAAGCAAAGGCUUCACUCUUGAGAUUUUCCUUUUGCCUUAAUUAGUUGGCCCAAAAGGUUUCAAUAAAACAUCCUCUUCUGAAAACAGUACUCAUUGAAAUCACAGUGAAACACCUUCAAGGAGUGCAGGCAAUUCACAGAAAUGUUUCAUAAAAAUUCUGAAAAACAGGUCAUAAUAUUUUUCUCUUGUUCAUUAUGAAGUGUUUGUUACCUUUUUAAAGUUUACUUUCUUUUUGAAGGAUAACAAAUUCUCUUCCCGUCUUGUUAAUUGCCUAACAGCUCAAACUCCAUCUUCUGUCUUGUGCAUAUUACAUUUCAAUGGUGUUGACUGAAUAUAAUAUGAAACUGUACCCCCAGAACUUGGAGAUUCUUUCCCAAUUCUAGUCUGCUUCUUGUAUCUCAGAAGCCACUUUAGGUCUGAUUAUUGAAAUAGGGUAAAACAAGCCUACAGUCUAAACUGAAAAUAACUCCCCCUACAAACUGACAGGUCAGAAUGCAAUAGUUUUCUCAAAUAUUUGAAGCCCUCCAGUUUCUGCUCUACUUCUCCUAGAAAGGCCAUCCCUCAAGCAAUCAACUUGACACAAAUUAAUUGUUUCUGAAAUCAGGAGUUUGAUGACUCCCAUGAAAUGUUUUAAUUUCAGAAAAUUCUAGAAUUCUUAAAAAAACUCAAAAAAACUGUAAAUCAAAUACCUAAAUACCCUUCCUGGGGGGGAAAAAGUCAACUACUGCAAAUCUGCACAGUGAACAUGCUCUGUGUGCAAUCCAGAAUUAAAUCUUUUUUUAAGCAAGGCCUGCUGUUUCUUUCCAUUAUAUCAGAUAGUGGAAGAGGCACACAUUCCUUCAGGGACACAGUAGCUGCUGUGGCAGUUUGUUGAAGAAUAUCUGGACUUACAGCAUUCAAAAUAUACCUGGCACAACCUCACAGAAGGGCAGGGGGAGGGAGAGAACGUGAGAAGUGAAGUCUGUGAUUACAAAGCCUAAUUUACUUUUCUUUUCAAAGAUAAGCCACCAAAAUACAAAUGGAUGGCCUCCAAUCUUGUUAACUCACUCUGGCACAAUAAGGUCAAGUUAAAUGCAGGGAAGAGAAUGUAAAUCUCCUUGAAACCUUUUAUGGUUAUGUUUUUAAAGUGCUGAAGUAUUAUAAAGGCAGCACUCUUUCCUAUCAGUGAUUAAGAAAAACCCCACCUUAACAAAAGGGUGCAAAUCCAAAUUUCCACCUCAAAGACAAAAAACUACAGAACAAAAUUAAUACUCUUGAAAGAAAAUGUAAAUAUUGCAAUCCAGCCAAAGGGAUAAAUGUGCUUUAUGGACUGCUGUGCCAUGGCUAGACUGGUCUGUUACCUGAUCACACUUUUUAAGACUCCUGAAGUAUCUGUAGCCCAUCACUUGUGCUACAGUGACCAGACCAGUUCAAAUGGACUCAAGGUUUGCUAUCUGAAGUUAGAUCUGCACUGCAGCUGUGUGUGACAGAAUAAGGUAGAGUUUGACAGGUUCAGCUCUCUCUCUCACUUCAAACAUUAACUAAUGGUUUCAGAUUAGAAGAGAAAGCCAUGUCCCUCUGAUGCUCUGUUUAUAAAGAGGAGAGGCAGUAGCUGUUUAUUUAUUUGUUUUGGUAACAACAUCCAAGAGUCAGUUUCACACAACUGUUUUCCAUUAAUCCUUACAGUUAAUCCUUAGAUACAGACAAACCAAAUAACAGUAAGAAAUCCAACAUAAGUAGGAACAAAAAAGUAAAAGUGGGAAAUGGGGUUAUCAGAAUGAGAAAAAAGAAAAAGAAUUUAGAAAGAGAUCUUGAUACCAGUGUCUGUCAUUUGUGUUUUCUCUCACUGCUUCUGUGUGAAAAUAAUAAUCUGAAAAAAACUACCAAAAUAAUCCACACCAAACCUCCUACACUAAGAAAUCAGAAUUCAGCUUAAAAUAUCUACACUGUGACUAGUUUUCAUAUAAUUAGAUAUUAUAUAUUUUCAUGUAAUUAAAUUGUGCAAAUCUUCAGGAUGGCCUGACUGGCAAGCCCUGACAUGCUGCUGAAGGCAUGCAAGAGAUAAGAGGCUUCAGGGAAGCAGUGUGAUAGCACAGAGGAGCAAAGCUGAGAAUGAGGGAUGAGAAGAUGGCCUGGGUAGUACACCUACACUCUGCAUUUCAGCAAGAGGAACUAUCCAAAAAUCCAGAAAUUAGAAACAUCAAGCUCUUAUUGUUUCACAGUUUUGCUUACACUCCUAAACCCACUAUAAUUCUAGAAAAUUCUACCUAGUUAUCUUACUAGUCUUUAAUCUCUUCACUUCAGUCAGGAAUAACACCUAAGGCUUAUAAAACCCAAACAAACCACAAACUCCAAGAGAAAAACAGCUCACCACAAAACAAGUAAAAAUCCCCAACCAUUGUUUAUUUCAUUACACUCUCUGCAUUAGAAAAUCUUUUGCCAGCACCCCUAUACAAAAUAGAUAUAAAAUAACACACCGUGCACAUAGUUGCUUUCUUUGGAGAAUGCCAACUAAUACUUCAACUCUUUUUUUAAACUAUUCAACUGAAAAUUUUAAUGCUGCAGUUUUGUUUUUUUUUAAACAAACCUGUAAUUUUCAUUAGUUAUAAAAAACUUGUAUGAGCAAGAAUGUUGUAUUCAUCCAUUUUCAGGAGAGGAAAAAACCAGACACACUUAAUCUCUAAAAGGCUUACAGAAUAAUAAGGCCCCAGUACUUACUUAGCCAUGAGUUUUGCUAUUCGAUGACAGUCAUUCUUGUCAUAAAACCAAAUACUGUAAAUUGACACUAGAAAACAAGAAAAAAAAGCAAGUGUAAGACAAAAAAAAAGUAAUUAAAUCAAUAGCAAAAAACCAGGAGUCCAUUAGAUCUGCAACAUACAAAUUUCCAUCAGUUUCCAUUGAAAUACUGUGUGUCACCAGCUACUAUUUAUAAAGUAAUCAAACAGUACAUGUGCAAACAUAAAUACAACUUCAGUCAGAUUAAAUGGAAGAACUAUAGAAUCUUUAUACUGUUUGUAAAUAAAAGUGGCAGGAAAAUGUUUUAACCUUAAGGUGCCUUCUCACUACGGUUGCAACCUCUCCUUUUGAAUUGACUUUAUCAUUAAGGUAGGCCAAGGAAUACCCAUUUAAAAACACUGAUUUUUAAAUUUGUCAAAUUCGAAGACCGACAUUAACAUUUGAAUCAUAGCAUGACAGUUCAGUCAGAGCCUCUCUGGAAGGUUCCCUCUCCAGAAGGAAGCAGUACCAAAGCUCCCACCAAGGUCACAUUCAUACAGCUUAAAACUACACUCACAGUGACCCCUGCUCUUUGAAGGCACCAAGGACAAAGCAAUGAGAGCAGAAGGGUUCCAGCUCAGCAAGACAGCCUCAUCCUGGGUUCAGAAUAAGUAAAAUUCCAUUGCAAGUUUGCAGAGUUGGAGCUUGACCAAUGAGGCUCCAUCAGAGGGAGAGACUUUGUCAGAAGUGCCAUGAGCUGCUCCUUCCCAGCAAUCCUCCCAAGGGCCUUUUCCCCACACAGCAGCUCCUCUCCCCACUGCCCCAGCUCCACCAACACCACAAAGCUCCACAACUCUUUUCAGAAUGAUUCUGAAUCCAGCCCACAAUGCAGAUUACUUUAAAUCUUAGUUCACCUAUGAAGUUUGUCAAUGCAUAAAGUGCUAGAACAUCAAAGGCAAUUGAACACUUACACACGUUGCCAUUAAAGUACUUUAAUUUCUGAAAAAAUGCUUUCAGCCUUUUAAAACUCAUCUUUAUAACUGCAGUUCAUUUCAAUGAUUUUAUGUAGCUGAAAUCACUGAUUAUAAAUACACUUAAAGUGAAGGAAAGGACUGUUUAAAAAAUUACAUAACCGUUUCCUGUUAGAGGUUGAUUUUUAUUUCACAGUGAAAUCCUUUUUCUUUCUUUACUCACUUUUUUUUCCUUCACAAGAUACUCAAAAACCUUAAGCAAAGCCCACACAAAAUAAUGUCAAGCCAGGGCAAAGUGGGCAAUUAUUUACCAAACUAUUUCUGGCCCUUCAACUUAUCCCAGGUGUACUCUGUUGGGCCAAAAUCCUCAAGAAGUCAGGUACACAUCCAAUUUCUAGAAGAAUAUCCUAUGACAAACUGAAAUUCUUGACUUUUCAUUCUUUUAUUAAACAACUGCUGUAUUAAUUUGGGUGUUUGUUUCUUUAGAAGUUCCAGCUUAAGUAAUAGAUAACAAAGCUUUUCAUGUCAUUAACAAAGAAAUCAAUGCACAAAGUACAUAAGCCAAUAAAAAAGCAUUUCACACAUGUAGCCAAUGCUUAUGAAAUGCUUCUAUUAAACUUUGCAGUUUAAUAUAACUGGAUUUUCUGCUGCAUAGAAACCUACAAAGUUUCCAGAUUGCUACAUGACUGAAGAAGUAGCUCAUAUUUUAGCACUGAAGAAAAGACUCCAUUAUCAGACAAACUGCUAAGAGGAGAAAGCUUCUUCAAAAGCAUACUUGCUGAAGAAAUGAAGAUAUGGCACUCAUAAUAACAUUUAAAUGGGACAAAUGAUAAAAGUCACAGUCAAUUCUGCCAGAAACACUCCUAGACAAGUCCACAUGCAGAUCCAAAUCUCAGUUUGGUGUAGAGAAUGAGGCUUUUUUCCACUCUGUACUACUGGCAAGCAAUCACAGGGAGUCACUGCAAAACAAUUUUACACAAUAUCACCAAGAUGCAAAGCAGAUUACAAACAAACUUGGGCAUUAAUGUAGGUACAGUCCAGAGGGUGGAAUGUUCACCUUCCUCUUCCCAAGAGCCCUCCUGUACUGCCAGUUCAGCUCCCUUCCCCAGAAGUGUGUGUCCCAACUGCAUUCCUAUUACUAUUUAAUAUAUGUUUUCCUAUACACUUCCUUCCAUGCAUGCAGCUUCAACUAAGAACAUCCUUAUAGCAGAGUUGGUUCUUACCAGCUCUUUUUAAAUAUUGGAUUUUUUGCUACACCCAGCAUAAAUAUUAGCUGAAUAUUCCUAUGUCUGAUGGCACCUUUCUACUGCAGUUUUGCAAGAGUUUCAUCCAAGAGAAGCUACUGAAUUUUUUCACCCAGCUUUUCUACACUGAAUGCUGGGCAGCAUUCAGUACUUUGUCAUCAGCAGCAGCAAUUCUUCCAGUAGGAUUCACACUGCAUUUUGACACCCCUGGAAUAAUGAGUAACCCACACCACAGACAAAUCAGGUUUCAUAAAACUAAAAGAAGUCAUCCAUUUUCGUAACCUAUGUUCUUCUCUGACAUAUGUAAUUUUUGUUAGAAACACUGACCCAUAAAUAUUUAUCUAAACACAACACUCAACUUCUCUCCAAACUUGUCUGAAUCAAUCCUUAAAACCUGAUUAAAACUGAAAUGGGAAACCAAAGAGCUUUUGAGAGAACAGAAGGAUUAUGGAAGACUUCCUGCUCAAGCCCAACAGCUGAAUAAUACCAAAAGGAAGGUCUUGGACUUUUCUAUAAUCUGGAUUAAGAAUGGGAAGAGCCAAGUGCCACUGUGAGAUAAAAGCCUCAUCCUUGGCAACAUAAAAUAAAGCUGCAUCCCCAAAUUCAGUAGGUUCACCUCAGCUCUCAUUUUGAGUAAGCAGGAAGAAGCAGUGUCUCCACCUCACAUUCCCACAACUUUGUUAACCCAUUGUACCCCAAGGGGCCCCUCUCCCUCAUGUCAACUGGGUACAUUCUAGUCCAGACCAGAUCCUUGAUCCCAUUCCUGCAUCAGCUUCACAAAAGGCCAUUGGAGCAUAAGAGAGCACAAACAAGAAGCUUGGGACACACAGCAAGGGAAAACUUCGAAUGGAACUGUGUGCCAGAGGAAGUGCACAUGGACUCAUCAGCACUGCCAGUGUCAGCAAUUCCAGACACUGUCACUCCCUUCCCCCAGGCAGUUUAGCCAUUUGUACAAAUACAUCCUCAACUCAUUCAAAGAGAUUAUUUGUUUAAAACUUCCCUUAACUAUCUGGAAGAGCUGGUAGAAGGGAGAGAAAAGUUUUAUUUUACAGGUCCAAUCUAGAUGCUGCCAUACAAUGAAGCAGAACUGGAAGUGGAGUUUUUCAAGUUCUUGAAUGAAAAGGACACGUAUUUUGAAACCUCUCCUACAAUGUAACCAUGGAAAACAAUUCCAUCUCCCACAAAGAAAAGCACAUAUAUGCAUCAUUUUACACCUCAAAUAGAGUUUGAGAUAAAAUGACAUAUAACUUUCUCUCUUUAAAGCUCACAUUUCCUCUACUAUCAAUGUCAGCUGAAAUGCCACCUCUCCUCAAUCAGCUCUGUAUCACUGACAUUCUUCAUACUUAUUUUCUACAUGUAGAUAUUAGCCUGUUUUAUAUUAGAUAUAGACUUACAAACCUUUAGAAUGAAUGGGAAAAGUUCCUCCCUUUCCUGUUGUUUUCAAUACCUAAAGGCAUUUCACAAAUACAUCACUCAGCACAAUCCCAGAAGCAGGAGCAUGGAGUAAUCACCCAGGUGCCAAGCAGCACCCAAGCUCAGGGGCACUCUAACUGCCACCUGAUAUUAUAUGGAGGGAGAGGGAUUGCUUCUUUGCAACCUGAACCACAGAAGAAAACCUCUUGUAGUUAGAGUGACACCUUUCAGGUCAAACAAUGUAUUUUUAGAACUUCUUUACAGUUUUCAGUCAUUCCUCCCCUCCCCCAGCUUGCAGUGCUUCUUCUGCUAUGAAGACAUGAAGAAAAGGCUCCUUUCUUAUCUCAGACUAAACCACUGGGUUAAUGUGCUUGCUGGAGAGCCAGGCAGCCUCAGCAAUCACAGAUAUGUUACACUUAAUGGAACAUGUCUGAUAAGAGACUUUCCUUGCCAGCUUUGAAACCAGUCAGGAGCUCUUUGAAACACUUCUAAUGCAACUCAUUUCUCUUUUGCUGUUCAGGAUACAAGUUGUUUUCAUCAAUAAUACAACAAGACCAGAAGACAGCACUUUGUAACUGAGUUUUCUACUUAUAUGUAUAAACCUCUGCAAAAUCUAUUAUUUUUGUAUUACUAACUCUUACCUUGGACAGGAAUAAGAAGCAAGGAAAAAAACCACACCACCACAAACACCCCACACCAAACAAGGACCAUUUAUUUUAAUACCCAACUUUUAUGCUAAACAUCUGUCUUUUCUGUAUCAUGGAAAUCAGCCUGCCUGACCUCCCAAGUGAACUGGAUUGGAUUAAAAACCCUUUUUAUCAAGACCAACACCACCGAUACAAGGGGAAAGUUAUAAAUGAGAAAGGCUCAGAAGAAUCUUUCCUGCAGACUUCAGGAGAAUGCCCAUGGAAGUUUGCUUCAUCCCCCACUCUGCCAAAAAUGGGAGGAUUCCCCCGAAGAGCUGUGAAAAUCAGUAAUUUCCCAUAAAAAUAAAAUGGCAAUUAUCCAGUCUUGGUCUGAGAGUAUGAAAAUGCCUCAGUGCAAUUGGAUAAAGUAUCUCAUGUCUACAGCUUAACAAAGUUCUGAUAGGCAGCAAACCAACAAUGCCUUUGUAUAGUAAGAGUGUUUGAAGAAAUCAAACUACAAAAGAAGAGUAAAACCCCACCCAAGUAUUAUGAUCUAGUAUGACAGGCAAAUCAUUCUUACAGCCUCCAGCCAGGCAAAACCAAUGUUUGUAGAGUGCUUGCAAAGCUCCUCACAUAAGUCAUUAGCAGCUCUGCAGAGAAUGGAGCAGGUCACUCACUGUCCCAGACAGAUCUUGUGCUGCUGAAGGCAGAAAUGCCAGAGGUCUGAUCUGCUGCACAGAACACACUUGGCCUCAUUCUAAGUCAAGACAGAAUCCCAGAACAAAGUGAAAACAUGAAGUUUGUAAAACAGUAGUACCACAUUGAAUAAAAAUAUUGUUGACAUGGAACCUUCCCCAAAUGCAUGGUGACAUAAUUUUGCUUUAAUCAUCGUCUACUGUUUCUACCAUGCCCUGGUGAAGCACUAAUCUCUAUUUUUACUCAUCCUGUUACAGUGUAACUAUAGAGGCACAAAGUACCUAUUUGUCUCUGCCAAACAGCACUAUUAACAUGAUUUUAGGUUUUUACUGGAUAGUCUGAGCCAUCACCCAUUUGUAAGCUAAGGAAACAGAAUCAGCAGUUCAAUCACUCAUAAAGGGUUUCUAAUGAUGACAGAUUUCUUCAAGGACACAGUAAAAGCCACCCUACAAGACACAGGGUUGUGUAAGAGGAAGCUUUUCCUUACACAAACUAGCAGACCAUCUUCUCUCGGUCAUUAAGGGAUCUCAGAAGAAGUUCACCUUAAGCCAUUAGAGACACAUGACAUUAAGCCCUUGGAAAUAGACAUUAUAGCAACCACUGGCUUAAACCUCUGAUUUGAAUUAGUUCCAAAAAUGCAAGGGUUUUUCAUGCCAGCAGGCAAGUGAGCGGAAGUGGAGAUCCUUCCGCAUGAAUCCCCUGAUCCACCCAGACAAACAAAACACACACGUGUUGAAAUCUGUCUGCAAAUCCAAAUUUGCCUGCAAAUUCACAAAUACUGUGCAAAUGGAGGCUAACAGCUUUUCACACAAUUAAACCAUAUAAUUUGCUUUCUAACUCUUUCAGAGGACAGAAAAUUUAGAAAACCUUAUGUAAGGAAAAUAAUCCAAAACAAAAUGCUUAAUGCAAAAUGUAAGGGAGUAAGUGAUGUGGAAAUUAUAAGGAAUAAAAAGCUUAGAUGCCAUUUUCAAUGCUUUUAAGCUUGGAUUUGAACAAAGUGAACACUCUCAGAGGGCAUGAAAACUCAUCUGCAGUUUAUUUUUUGUGGCACCUGAGAAAAUAACUCAUGACAUUGGACAUCUUCCAUCUGCAAUCACUGGAGACAGGAUGGGGUAAUGAGAGAAAGGGUAGUUUCUGACCAAGUAUUUUAACAUGUCAGGGGCAAAGAAAUAAGAGGAAAAAAAUACUCCUGAUUACUUCCCACAUCCAGUCUGUAUGCUUUUCCUUGCUGACCUUUGUAUGAUUUCCUCCCUUCCUUGUGCCAUUCUGUCAUCUCUAUCCUAAACCCAUGAGACUCCCACAGAUCUUACACUUGUGUCCCACGGGAAAAGGAGAGCUUUUAUCAAGGAAAACAAUUGGCUUCAGGGGUUUCUAAUGAACUCACAACAGCCUAUACCUACUCUGAUUACAACUACCUGAAAGGAGGUUGUAGCAGGGUGGUGCUCGGUCUCUUCUCCCAAUUAAGAAGUAAUGGGACAAGAGUAAAUGGCCUCAAUUUGUGCCACUGGAGGUUUAGAUUGGGUAUUAGGAAAAGUUUCUUCGUGAAGGGCUGUCAAGCCCUGGAACAGUGCCCAGGGCAGUGGUGGAGCCACCAUCCCUGGAGGUAUUUAAAGGAUGUGUGGAUGUGGCACUGAGGGAUGUGGGCGCAGUGCUGGGUUAAUGGUUUGGUGUGAUGAUCUUAAAGGUAUUUUCCAACCUAAAUGAUUCUGUGAUUCUUUCUCUGAAUGAUCCUCUAGUCACUGUCAGACACCAUGGUGAUUCCACAGCAGCUCCUGUUUCCUUCUACCAUCAGCAGUCCCAACAAAUGAAUCAACUUCUUGCUUCCCUUAUGUCACCAACCUCAGAGCUGCAAUUCUUUCCUGACACCUUAAGGUCCAUCUAAUCCCUACUGCCUCCUCUGCUUUGCAAACCAAGCAAUCUGCUUAAACACCCAACUCAACACAGUAUUUUUCCCAGCCUGUUGCCAGUCACUUCCCUAACCUCCUAGACUUUUGAACUUGCUGAUCAGUUUUGACUUUUUCCUCUUCAUGACACUUAUGGAAGGAAGAUUGCUAAGAUUAUGAAACAGAGGAGACCAUCUGCCUUGGGCUGUUCUUUGCCACCAGGAGGGAAUCUAUCCUGCUUCUUACAGAUCCCAGAGGUCUUCCAUGGGGAAAAAAGGAAGGGAUUAACAUUUGACUGGUCUAUUAGGUACCCCAAAGUACAGCCAAAGCAGUGUCCCCAUCAAGGGGACAUUCUGAUGGAGGAGGGAAAUAGGUUUAAUCUAAACCUAGCAGAAAAUGAAUUAAAGACCAGACCAAUAUUGCACUUUGGUAGUAUAUUUGCUUUUUACUGAAAGCAGGCAGUGAUGAUCAUAUAAUAGAACAGAUAUUUAAGUAAACAUAGCAUUGAGACAGAAAACAUCAUCAGAUAUUUCACUGGAACCUGCCCCAUUACGUUUGAAACAGACAUCACAGUCAUCAGAAGUGAUCUAGGUUAUAAAACUGAAACUGAAGUUUAUUUGGAUUAGAGAAAGUUAUACUCACAGCUGGC